This 1655-nucleotide long non-coding RNA is filed under the name Rattus norvegicus (Norway rat). RNAcentral describes it as "long non-coding RNA NONRATT023352". The record is from RNAcentral. Lineage: Eukaryota; Metazoa; Chordata; Mammalia; Rodentia; Muridae.
UGUACAAAAGAAAAUUAAAAGAAAUUGUUUUCAGUGGAACAUAACUGAUAAAAUGAGAGUAUCUGAAUAACCGAAGAUAUUAAAGAAUAUCACUUACAUUUAUUUAGGAAGGAAUUGCGUCUUUCUAAUUUGAAGUAUACUCAGUUUAGGUGUGGCCCAUCCUGCUUGAGGGAUUAUAUAUCUUACUUCAGUCUUAUCUUAGCGGGGCAGGAUACCCACAAUUUUGGAGAUAGUAGAUGAGCAUAAAUAAUUUUCACAAAUUCCCGUUUUUCCUGAAGUAGUUUUUUCCACAGUAGACAGUUAAAUGCUUCCGGUACAGCUCUCCCCUUGCCCACGCUUACACCAGUGUUUCUGGCACAGGAGCUAAGGAGCACUGGACUCACAGCCCGAGUGAUUUACUUUUAAGGGAGUAACUUGCACGAAGAGAGAGAUUAUGGUAAACAUUUUAAAUCUCAGGCUUUCGGUUCUGUUGGGUCCAGAUUACCCCAGACUUAGAGAGAGACUAUGUACCACUGACCUGUGCUGAACUGGGAACCACUUAGUGGCUGACAAUGUGUUGUGCUCAGUCGCUGCGUCGUGGGCGUCCCAGGGCAAGUGUCCACCGCUCCUUUUGUUGACUGUUGGCAUCUGAACUCCUGAAUGAACGCCAGCUGUCUCUUUAUAGAUUACUAUUUUAAAAUAUUUAUUUCAGAUGUUCAUCGGAUGCUCAAUUUUUUGAUGCAAGUUGUUUACAAAGGCAAAUAUAUAUAUUUAAUAAUUGAGAUAUUAUUUUAUCGCACAACUUAUUUCCCAAAGCAAAUUUACCUUGUAGGUGUUUGUCUUUUGAGAAGGAAAAAAUUUUUUUCUUUUGCCUCAAAAUACAAAUCGUAAUCCUGUCUUCUCUUCUGUUGUGACUCUUGUGAUACUUGCUUUUCCCCUGGUUUUGGAUUAAGCAAAAGUGAGGCAUUUGUGAACCAACUUGGAGUUGCCAGUUGAGUCGUCAGAGCUCCCAUCUGUCCUCAGGAUUCAGGGCCGUGCUGGUCAAACAUGGCAGUGUCUCCCUGCCUCAGUUUCCUCCCCUCACUGCACUUGAGUGGUCUCUGAUAGUUUGUUCUCAGCAGUUUUACAGAGGAAAACGGUCUUGGAAAACAGAGAGGCUAGAACUCUUUGUAAAACAAAUGUGUUCAGAACAUCCGUCUGCUGAUAAGUGGAUUAGGGUCAGGUCCUAGAGAGGGAAAGAGACCAGCUAGAAAGCUUUUCAUCAGUCUAGAAGGAAAAUGAAAAGUGCAAAUGUAAUAUUUUUGAUGUAAAAGCUGUGUUCCCUGUGACUUUUCAUAUGCUGAUUUAUGUUAAUGUUAUCACCUGUGAUAUGUCAGUGAGUGCAGAUAAAGAUUUAAUUUUCAACAUGAAGACAACAGUUCCUGUCUCUAUUUUUACGAUUUAGACAGUUUUGAAGACAGAUGUCAUUUACAAAUUGUAUUUUUAAGUAGAAAUAAAUCAAUUUAAAGUCAGUGUUUUCUUUUUCCUACCUUUGUCCCUUACAGAAGGCUCUGUGUUAUUAGAUAUAUAUUUAAGUUGCCAGAUUAUUUUCGGAAUUCUCUAUUUUCAUAUUGCUGUAACCAGUUUACCUCCAAUGUGCAAUUGAAUUGUUAUUUAAAUAAAUGACACGAGAUGGG